This 79-nucleotide transfer RNA is filed under the name candidate division TA06 bacterium. RNAcentral describes it as "tRNA-Asp". It matches the Rfam family "tRNA". From Rfam's summary of the family: Transfer RNA (tRNA) molecules are approximately 80 nucleotides in length. Their secondary structure includes four short double-helical elements and three loops (D, anti-codon, and T loops). The record is from RNAcentral.
GGGGUCGUAGUUCAGUUUGGUUUAGAACGCCGGCCUGUCACGUCGGAGGUCGCGGGUUCGAACCCCGUCGGCCCCGCCA